RNAcentral lists this long non-coding RNA (1513 nucleotides) under Mustela putorius furo (domestic ferret). Its description in RNAcentral is "lncRNA (ENSMPUG00000030318.1)". The record is from RNAcentral. Lineage: Eukaryota; Metazoa; Chordata; Mammalia; Carnivora; Mustelidae.
NNNAGGAAGAGAGAGAGAGAAGGAAGCAGGCUCCCUGCUGAGCAGAGAGCCCGAUGCGGGACUCGAUCCCAGGACCCUGAGAUCACGACCCGAGCCGAAGGCAGCGGCUUAACCCACUGAGCCACCCAGGCGCCCUCCCUAGGGCUUUUUAAAGCGCUGCAGGUGCUUCUAGGGUGUAGCAAGAUUGACAACAACUGGUCUAGUGACCACCUGAGGAACAUGUUUGAAAAACUUUCCCUGACAUUUCCUUUCAAGGCAGCUCAUAUGAUCCUUCGUCAGUGGCCCACCAUCUACUGAAGAAUCUGGCUCCACUUGCUGACGAAGGAGGUGAUGUGGAAGAUGUAAGUGGAGGCUGACAUGCAUACCCAGCACAGAAGCAGGAGUGGACCGGGCCAGCUAGGCUGCCUGGAGAAGUCAAGGUCAGUGUUGCCUCAGUCCUAGGGUCAGGAGACUGGUGGUCUCCACAGUUUCAAUGCCAGAUUAGGAUUGCAGGGUGCAGAUCACAGAUUUAUUUACUUUCUUAUUUUUGCAUUUUCAAUUCCUCCUGAAUAUCAAAUGCUGGAAGAUUUCCUCUUUACCAGGUGGUUGGAGCAAAAGUUCGUCUGUGGCCCCUGAAAACACAAACACGAAGAUCGAGCCUUCAAAACUAUUUUUAGCAGAUGGACAAAAGGGACUCUGGAAAAGAUGUGACGGAGGGCUGCUGGGAGGCCGCAGAAGAGGAAGGAAGCGCUGGUGCCAGACGGCCCUCCUUCUCGACCUCACCUUUGUCUUUAUUCAACCCUCCUAUCCCACUCAUGCCUGCUGCUUGCCCUCUCAUCCUCUCCUGGGGAAAGAACAUCGGACCAGGCGGGUUCUGGAGUGUUCCUGCAUUCACACAUACCUGCGGCCUGGUAUGUACAUCUGUCUCAGCAAAGGGCUCCCACCUGACACUGGGGUCCACGGGGUCAGGGGGCUGGGAAGGGUUCUGCCUUGCAGUCAGAGCACUCUUAGGUGAUGAGAACAGCUGUGUCCUCUCUGCCUGCUUUACAAAACCUGAGGCCUCAACGGGAUAUUGAGCUCAGGGAUGAUGGUAAAACAUAGCUCUGUGAUGUUGGUGUAGAGGGAGACACUGCCUGGUCCGGACGCCGGAUCACCUUAGUAAGCCAGUGCUCAAACUCGGAAAGUUGCAGCUGGUAGGUCCUAAGGGCCUCCCUAAGUGUAUGUCUAACCAGAUGGGGACAGCAGGGCCUUGUUCUGGGUUUUUAUAAUCUGCGGUCACCAACAUUUUCAAUUCCUUUGAAUUUCACAGGGUAUCAGAAGACGUGUGGCUGGGGCGCCUGUGUGGCUCAGUGGGUUAAAGCCUCUGCUUUCGGCUCAGGUCAUGAUCCCAGGGUCCUGGGAUCGAGCCCCACAUCAGGCUCUCUGCUCAGCGGGGAGCCUGCUUCCUCCUCUCUCUCUGCCUGCCUCUCUGCCUACUUGUGAUCUCUGUCAAAUAAAUAAAUAAAAUAUUUAAAAAAAAAAAAAAGAAGAUGUG